Molecule: long non-coding RNA, 432 nt
Organism: Hippocampus comes (tiger tail seahorse)
Lineage: Eukaryota; Metazoa; Chordata; Actinopteri; Syngnathiformes; Syngnathidae
Exons: 3
Source: RefSeq, a predicted model, not a curated record
ACGGGCAGAUCACCUGCAGGGACAAGGACGGCGGUGGCGUCAAGGCGAAGGCAUUAGGAUAAGCGGCGGCUUGCUGACCUCUUGAGUGAGCGUGGAGAUGAAGAUGACCUUGUGGCCCGCCACGGGGAAGUCUAGACUCAUGCAAGCGCCGCCGUCAGCGUUGAGCCACACGUACAGGCUUUGCACCAGGAGAGGCUUCAACAACUCCACGCGCUUGUCGCUGGCCUCCAUUUUUCCGCUCGCUUCUCGACUUCCUCGGCUAGGACUUACCCACCUGUGGAAAUGACAAAACAAGCAUCACCUCUUUUCAGCUGCUUUGUCACACAGAGCGACAUCAUCGGCACACAGCCGCGAUGUCAUGUGCUGUCAUCAUCUGUUUGUUUUUCGUUUUCUUUUUAUUUGCUGGAAAAUGAACAAGUCAUAUCCUUAUUG